GAUGAGAACGUAGUGAAAUGCGAUACUUGGUGUGAAUUGCAGAAUCCCGUGAACCAUCGAGUCUUUGAACGCAAGUUGCGCCCGAAGCCAUUAGGCCGAGGGCACGCCUGCCUGGGUGUCACACACCGUUACCCUCGCGCCAACGUCCAUCGUUGGCCGCGGCGCGGGGCGUGCGCUGACCUCCCGCGAGCGGGGUCUCGUGGUUGGUUGAAAAUCGAGUUCGCGGUCGAGGGUGCCGUGAUGAAAUGGUGGAUGGGCGACGCCCGAGGCCAAUCACGCGCGACUCUGUCCGGCUCGGACUCCUGGACCCCUUCGGCGUCUCCGGACGCUCUUUGGCGAGACCUCAGGUCAGGCGGGGCUACCCGCUGAGUUUAAGCAUAUCAAUAAGUGGAGGA
Molecule: unclassified non-coding RNA, 395 nt
Filed under: soil metagenome
Description: partial contains 5.8S ribosomal RNA, internal transcribed spacer 2, and large subunit ribosomal RNA
Rfam family: 5.8S ribosomal RNA (bases 5-121)
Source: RNAcentral